RNAcentral lists this ribosomal RNA (772 nucleotides) under uncultured beta proteobacterium. Its description in RNAcentral is "bacterial SSU rRNA". It matches the Rfam family "Bacterial small subunit ribosomal RNA", at positions 573 to 1341 of the family's 1533-position model. The record is from RNAcentral. Lineage: Bacteria; Pseudomonadati; Pseudomonadota; Betaproteobacteria.
AGGCGGCUUUGUAAGACAGGUGUGAAAUCCCCGGGCUUAACCUGGGAACUGCGCUUGUGACUGCAAGGCUCGAGUGCGGCAGAGGGGGGUGGAAUUCCACGUGUAGCAGUGAAAUGCGUAGAGAUGUGGAGGAACACCGAUGGCGAAGGCAGCCCCCUGGGUCGACACUGACGCUCAUGCACGAAAGCGUGGGUAGCAAACAGGAUUAGAUACCCUGGUAGUCCACGCCCUAAACGAUGCCAACUAGGUGUUGGGGAAGGAGACUUCCUUAGUACCGUAGCUAACGCGUGAAGUUGGCCGCCUGGGGAGUACGGUCGCAAGAUUAAAACUCAAAGGAAUUGACGGGGACCCGCACAAGCGGUGGAUGAUGUGGAUUAAUUCGAUGCAACGCGAAAAACCUUACCUACCCUUGACAUGCCAGGAAUCCUGCUGAGAGGCGGGAGUGCUCGAAAGAGAGCCUGGACACAGGUGCUGCAUGGCUGUCGACAGCUCGUGUCGUGAGAUGUUGGGUUAAGUCCCGCAACGAGCGCAACCCUUGUCCUUAGUUGCCAGCACGUAAUGGUGGGAACUCUAAGGAGACCGCCGGUGACAAACCGGAGGAAGGUGGGGAUGACGUCAAGUCAUCAUGGCCCUUACGACCAGGGCUACACACGUACUACAAUGGUGGGGACAGAGGGCUGCAAACCCGCGAGGGUGAGCCAAUCCCAGAAACCCCAUCUCAGUCCGGAUUGGAGUCUGCAACUCGACUCCAUGAAGUCGGAAUCGCUAGUAA